Molecule: ribosomal RNA, 450 nt
Filed under: uncultured bacterium
Lineage: Bacteria
Description: partial 16S ribosomal RNA
Rfam family: Bacterial small subunit ribosomal RNA
Source: RNAcentral
GUGGGGAAUUUUGGACAAUGGGCGCAAGCCUGAUCCAGCAAUGCCGCGUGCAGGAAGAAGGCCUUCGGGUUGUAAACUGCUUUUGUACGGAACGAAACGGUCCUGGCUAAUACCCGGGGCUAAUGACGGUACCGUAAGAAUAAGCACCGGCUAACUACGUGCCAGCAGCCGCGGUAAUACGUAGGGUGCGAGCGUUAAUCGGAAUUACUGGGCGUAAAGCGUGCGCAGGCGGUGCUGUAAGACAGGCGUGAAAUCCCCGGGCUCAACCUGGGAAUUGCGCUUGUGACUGCAGUGCUGGAGUGCGGCAGAGGGGGAUGGAAUUCCGCGUGUAGCAGUGAAAUGCGUAGAUAUGCGGAGGAACACCGAUGGCGAAGGCAAUCCCCUGGGCCUGCACUGACGCUCAUGCACGAAAGCGUGGGGAGCAAACAGGAUUAGAAACCCCGGUAGUCC